This 158-nucleotide ribosomal RNA is filed under the name Alternaria malorum. RNAcentral's name for it is "5.8S ribosomal RNA". The stretch from base 40 to 158 matches the Rfam family "5.8S ribosomal RNA", at positions 1 to 119 of the family's 154-position model. From Rfam's summary of the family: 5.8S ribosomal RNA (5.8S rRNA) is a component of the large subunit of the eukaryotic ribosome. It is transcribed by RNA polymerase I as part of the 45S precursor that also contains 18S and 28S rRNA. Lineage: Eukaryota; Fungi; Ascomycota; Dothideomycetes; Pleosporales; Pleosporaceae. The record is from RNAcentral.
UAAUAGCAAUCCGCGUCAGUAAACAAUGUAAUCAAUUACAACUUUCAACAACGGAUCUCUUGGUUCUGGCAUCGAUGAAGAACGCAGCGAAAUGCGAUACGUAGUGUGAAUUGCAGAAUUCAGUGAAUCAUCGAAUCUUUGAACGCACAUUGCGCCCU